Lagenorhynchus albirostris (white-beaked dolphin) is the source of this 2181-nucleotide long non-coding RNA. RefSeq lists it as uncharacterized. The transcript is spliced from 4 exons. NCBI's taxonomy places the organism in Eukaryota, Metazoa, Chordata, Mammalia, Artiodactyla, Delphinidae. The record is from RefSeq and is a predicted model, not a curated record.
CUGGAGCAGUUUCCGCAGUCGAUGAUGGCGUUGUAGGCGGCGUUCACCGAACCGAAGUAGUACUGGCCAGCCAGCCUCGAAUCUGAGAGGGACUUCAAAGAGCAGAGCCUCGCCCUGGCUGAACAGAGAAGCCUCAGCUUCCCACCUGCUGCUGUGCGCCUGGGAGGACACUCACCAUCCUGUUGUGGGGGCUUGAAGACAUAGCCAUGGUUAUCCAGGCUGCGGCGGUAGAAGCUGGCAUUGAAGGGCUCAGGGGUCUCUGUCCAGUCCUCAGCUGCCCUGGUCACACAAGAGAAGUUUGCUGAUCCCAGUUCUAGGCCCAAGAUCACCUCCUCUGGAAGCCUUCCCUGACCGCCUGAACUCGGAGAACUCCACAGAGGUGUGGGAAUCCCCAUCAGCCUCUGCUGAGCCUGGCUUGUGUCCACAGGAGAGGCGGAACAGGGAGAUGGGCAGAUUCCAGCUUUAAUUUUAGCAACUUCUCUGGGAGCCACGGAGGCUCAGCCAAGGGGGAAGCACACCUGCUUUAGCCCACCCACCCCGCCUUCUCUGCGGCCCUGCCUGCCUGCCCUCCUGACGGCUCACCAAGGCCAGCCUGGCACCACAGACCCGCUGCAGGAAUCCCUUCCUGCCUGCCCACCUCUUGGUGCCACUGGAUACCUCCUGCUCGCCCCAGGCAACCCCCCAGGCCAACAGGCCCAGGAGUGGGAGCCUAGCUGUUGGGUCUUCUGCACCAGUCAGCACAGGUGGGGCCCCAGAGACUGAGUUGUGACACCUCUGUUUACAGAGGAAAUAACCAGGUUCAACUACUUUUGCCUCAAAAGCAGGCAGAUGAAUUUGGGCCUUGACAGGUUCACCAAAACAGUCUGUUCCAUGUGCCCUGCGCCCUCAGACACUCUUGUCUCCUCUGUAGACCCCCUCACACCCCAAAUGGUCACACUUUCACGUGAGUCCUCUGGUGACAGGGACCUCUCUCUGUCACAGGGCCACCCAAGCAGACGUGAACCAGUCAGUGAGGCAGAAGAGCAGUGUAGCUCUGGGUUCUCCAGUCAGUCCCAGCGCCACCACUUCCGGGGUGGUGACCCCUGAUGAGUCAGAACCCUCUCCUUCAUCUGAAGAACAGGCACAGGGACUGGGCUGCCUCUACAGCUGGGGUGAGACUGACUUAGCCCAGGGCCAACACUGAUCAUGGGGCCAGGCUGUGGGGUGGUCAGCACGCGGAAGCCACUUUCCCCGCACCACAGGGAAGGGUACCUGCACUCACCUGAAAUACACCUGCAUCCCGGCCCCGCCUGCCUACCUCCAGGAAGCCCUCGCCACCUGCUCCCUCUCUCCCCUACUCUCGCAGCACUCAGCAUCCCUCUGUCCUCCCGAUGCUGGUACUUGAACUGACCUAGGGGAGGAGGUCCAAGAGCCUCACCACCCUGCCCAGGGAUGGGGCUGGGCCCGCCCCACACUGUACAGUGAAGCUGUGCCCCUUGGUGCCACAGAGACACGGCCCUGGAGGGGUCAGGGCCUCUAGGGAAUUGUGGGAGGUGUAGGGCGGGGACCUGUGCAGCCACAACUCUGCAAGGCCAAGCUCAGAAUGCUGAAGAGUGCUGAAUCCUAACACUCAUUUUACAGCUGAGGCCAUGAGGUCCCAGAGAGGGGGGUGUGGCUCUGGCAGCUCCCCAUCCCUGCCAGCAUGGGUGGGGGCACUUACCAGCUCAGCGUCGGCCUUGGCGUCAUAGUACACUAUGUCUUCCUCCUGGUGGGGAAGAGAUGCCUCAUCACUCAUGGUCGCCUGAGGUGCGGCCAGGACCCCCAGCUCUAAGGCCUGGAAUGGCCCCCUCAGAUUCCUCUGGGGCAGAGACCGCCCCCUUACCCAUCCAGAGCUGCCAUCCAGGGAGGGCUGGAUGAGGCAGGCUGGAUGCCCCACCCACACCCCAGCCAGACCGUCCUCAGGAGCUCUCACAGGCACCAGGAGGAUGUGGUACGCCGGGUCGGUACCCCUGGGGCUCCCUGACUCUAGGAUCAGGGUCUCUGCACUGCAGCCCUGCUGGGAGGUAGGGUUAGAGCCAGCCUAUCUGCAGAGACUCUGGCUGAGGCAGUACCAAGGGAGAAUUGAGGAAGAUGGAAAAAUAGAGCCGAGUCUGGGAAAGAGUGAAAUAAUGACUCGACACCACAUCUUCCAAUUUCUUCUAU